GACGAACGCUGGCGGCGUGCUUAACACAUGCAAGUCGAACGGAAAGGCCCUGCUUUUGUGGGGUGCUCGAGUGGCGAACGGGUGAGUAACACGUGAGUAACCUGCCAUUGACUUUGGGAUAACGUCAGGAAACUGGGGCUAAUACCGGAUAGGAGCUCCUGCUGCAUGGUGGGGGUUGGAAAGUUUCGGCGGUUGGGGAUGGACUCGCGGCUUAUCAGCUUGUUGGUGGGGUAGUGGCUUACCAAGGCUUUGACGGGUAGCCGGCCUGAGGGGGUGACCGGCCACAUUGGGACUGAGAUACGGCCCAGCCUACUACGGGAGGCAGCAGUGGGGAAUAUUGCACAAUGGGCGGAAGCCUGAUGCAGCAACGCAGCGUGUGGGAUGACGGCAUUCGGGUUGUAAGCCGCUUUCGCCUGUCACGAAGCGUGAGUGACGGUAAUGGGUAAAGAAGCACCGGCUAACUACGUG
Molecule: ribosomal RNA, 468 nt
Filed under: uncultured bacterium
Lineage: Bacteria
Description: partial 16S ribosomal RNA
Rfam family: Bacterial small subunit ribosomal RNA
Source: RNAcentral